Molecule: ribosomal RNA, 465 nt
Filed under: uncultured bacterium
Lineage: Bacteria
Description: bacterial SSU rRNA
Rfam family: Bacterial small subunit ribosomal RNA
Source: RNAcentral
ACGCUGGCGGCGUGCUUCAUACAUGCAAGUCGAACGAGAAUCUGGCUUCGGUCAGAGGAAAGUGGCGGACGGGUGAGUAAAAUGUAGAGAAUCUGCCCUAGAGAGUGGGACAACAGAGGGAAACUUCUGCUAAUACCGCAUAUGCGCGUAGUUGAGAUACUAUUCGUGAAAACUCCGGUGCUCUGGGAUGAGUCUGCAUCUGAUUAGCUAGUAGGCGGUGUAAUGGACCACCUAGGCGACGAUCAGUAGCUGGUUUGAGAGGAUGAUCAGCCACAAUGGGACUGAGACACGGCCCAUACUCCUACGGGAGGCAGCAGUAGGGAAUUUUGCGCAAUGGGGGAAACCCUGACGCCAGCAACGCCGCGUGAUUGAAGAAGCCCUUCGGGGUGUAAAGAUCUGUCAGUGGGGACGAAACUUGACGGUACCCACAGAGGAAGCAUCGGCUAACUCCGUGCCAGCCGCUGC